This is a long non-coding RNA of Ficedula albicollis (Collared flycatcher), 248 nucleotides long. RefSeq lists it as uncharacterized. NCBI's taxonomy places the organism in Eukaryota, Metazoa, Chordata, Aves, Passeriformes, Muscicapidae. The transcript is spliced from 3 exons. The record is from RefSeq and is a predicted model, not a curated record.
UGGCUGGUAAAUGAAGGAAUACUUCAAUAUCUCAUUCCAUUAAGCAAGAUACAACUUAUCAGCAUGCAGAGGAAAACAGACUCUUUCUGCAGGUGGCUUAACUUACUGUUGUUAUGCAUAGAGCUGUGGAAGAAUGUUGCCUUCAUUCCACGAGAAUCCUGGCCACGGAGAAGAGCUGAGAACUGUUAAAUAUGGAAGCAUCUAAAGGAAAACUGGAAACUGCAGUGGUACAUGAACAAUUCACAGGU